Cygnus atratus (black swan) is the source of this 4510-nucleotide long non-coding RNA. RefSeq lists it as uncharacterized. The transcript is spliced from 2 exons. The record is from RefSeq and is a predicted model, not a curated record. NCBI's taxonomy places the organism in Eukaryota, Metazoa, Chordata, Aves, Anseriformes, Anatidae.
GGCCCCGGCCCCGGCCCCGGCCGUGUUCCCGUGGCGGCCCGGCUGCCGGCCCGGCCUCUGGCCGAGCGCUUCCGCCGCCUCGCGCCGGGAGCAGGGAGCGCCUCGCGGGGAUCGGCAACAGCCGCUGCGGCCUGCCUGAAGGGCGGGCGCGCUUCGGCGGCUGCCCGGUGCCGGGACCCGCGGCUCGCGGCAACCCCGCCGGGACGGUGGGCGAACGACGGCGGCGGGGCCGGCCUCGGCGCCUCUGUCGUCCCCAGGGAAGCCGCUGCGGCCGCCAGCCUCGGCGGACGGCGCCUAUGGGCGAGGGCACCGGCACGCAGCAGGAGGAGCCUCCCCCGGUGUCACGGGCGCGGCGGCCGGGGGCAGCGGGGCCCCCGGCAGAGCCGCGCGGCGGGACGGAGCCACACCACAGCCGAAACCGGGCCUGGAGACCGCCGGCUUCCGGCUUCCUGCACGGCCGGUGCUUAGACUGACACCGCGACUUGGUUUUCCUGCCGGUGGCUGCUGUCACUGCUGCUGAAAGCUCUGGAAAGACAUGAAGGAGAAGCAGCUAAAUUUCUCCGUGCUUCUUAAAAUACCUUAAUAGAGAGGGUAUGUAAACUCAUGAGUGUUCUUGUUGCAUUCCUGUGCCUUUGGUUCGUCUUGAAACCUAAAGCGACAGAGCAAAGUUGUGCUGCCUUCCUUGUGUCCUACGGACAUGUUGUUCCUCUCUAAAUCACAGGCAGAAAACAAGAAUCCUGAAGGCCUGAAUUACAUUGCUGAAUACUUGGGUUGCCCAAUGGAAAAACAUAUCGAAUUCUUCUGAAAUGAACUUUGAAAUGGGAUGUCUGCAUCUGUGUCUUGGAUAAUAGGAAUCUGGACAAUCCAAAGGUCCAAAACUUGAAGGAAUUCAGUCUACAGAAACUGAGGUGGAGCAAACUGCAUUGGAGCAAGACACUGAAAAAUGGAAAUUCUCCCUGCCAUGAAAUAUGCUACUCUCAAAACAGGAUGAGAUAUUCUUCGUUAAAUGGAGCAUGAUUGUUUCACUCAAAGAGAGGAGCUACAUUAUUCAAACCAUUCUGACUUUUCCUGGGCAUGAGUUGAAUCUCAGGAUCAACCUAAGACAAUGCAAGAACACAAGCCAUGAAGUCAGGAAUUUAGAUAAAAGCAAGUGUCUUACCUCUAGUGGUUUUUUUUCUUAGCAAGGAGUUCUGCCUUAUGUGAUCUGGAGUAGACACACUUCUUGUAUUCAUAAUAACAUUCGUCCUGUCUCUCUGUUGUUCGAGUCAAGUAGCAGAACAAUUGGCUGACUAAUUCAAAGUAGACAUGGAAUGAGACCUCUCUUCAUGGAUGACUCUUUUUCUCAUUUGUGGGGAGACAUAGCUCCUGGCUUUCUACUUUCUGGAACAGUCAUUUAAUGAGCAGUCAGCGAGUCAGUCCUUACAAGACAUGCAGACCAAAAUGUUCGGAUGCAUCUACCUAAACGUGUAUGGGAGGCGCUGACCUGAAAGUCCAACAUCCUUUUCCAUAGUGCCAAAUGUCAACCUCGUGCUUGCCUGUCUCAUGGGAAAGUCACACCAUGGAUUUAAAUUAAUUAUUUCAAUCUAGAUACUAUUCUCAAUAAGACACUGGCUGUCAGAAGUGACUUUGUAAAUUAGCUUGCAGAAGACUGGAAAGGGAAGGAAUAGAUGAGAACAAGGAGACAUCCUGAAGGAAGAACCAGGAAAUUGUCAGCAGAAUGUCUGGAUGUUGAGGAUCCUCCUUCUGCACCAGUCAGGAUUCCCCCAUCCUGAGUCUAUCUUUCCCUAAUGAACUAAGCAAAGGAAGGAAUUAACAGACGAGAAAAAAAAAUUACAAAAUGUCAGUAUACCACUUCUUCACCACUUUGGGCUUAAAACAGAAAAUGUUCUGUGCCUUUUUGAGAAUGAUGUACAGAAGAGCCCACAAGAAGCUAGUAGAUGUGGAACAGUAGUGGAGUCUUAAAAGAAUUUAGCUGACAAACUUGGAAGGGUUAUGAAUGGCAUGAACUGAUCAGAGAUUUACAGUUUGGCCAAGUUGCAUGGUUUCCCCCAGGAAUUAUGGGAAGGAUCCAAGCCUGAAGGCUUCUUUCCUUCUAAACUGAUUGCAUGACAUUUUAGUGGCCUCUACCAAGAUGAGAAGGCUUGCAGGCUUCCUAACAACAUGACUAAUGAGCAGAAUUUAUUUUGUUCGUGAAUAAAUAUUUUUUCCUAUCUCAUUAUUUGAAAAGUGUGGACUGUGUUAUCUGUUCAGUUCAGCGUUUUCUUAAACCAGCCCAAUGGACUUGUCUAACAUGAGUGCAGCUCAAGUUAUUUCAGUUUGGCAAACUUGCAAGCAACUGAAACCAUGAUCUUGUAGUGAUCACAAAGCUACUAGUGAUCUUGUAGCUUUGGGAAAUCUCAGGUGUAGGUGUCUCUUAGAAGUAUCAACCAGGUGGAUGGGGCUGUGAUACAAAUGAAAAGCUGAACAGCCAAAUGAUCACAUCUGAAAGAGAACACAGCUGGGAAAUUCUAGCGAGGGAGGAAGGCUCCAUAGGCUCUUCCUAUAAAAACAUCUCUCAGUGACUGUCAAUAGAGAACUGCUCCUCUGUCCUAUGAAUACUACCGUGUGUUAAACGUCUUUUAUCAUCUCCGAAGGCAUUCAUCUACCUUAACUUUAGAUGCAGGCAGAUACAGUACCCCAGAACUCUAAAAUGCCUUUCUGCAUCAUGUGAAGUUGACAUCAAAGAGAACAGGCCCGUCUGCUUUGGUGGCAGAGGAUGAGAGGAGCUACGCAGAUGCAUAGCAUCUUGCCUGCUGUACAACUGCAUGAUGCGGCUGCAGGAAGACGAUCAAUGUGACAAUUACAAGCACGUUGGCAAGAGAUGGUAUAUGGAGCAAAAGCACUGUAGCAGCUAACAGACUUGUAGUGAGAAGCAGACAGUCCUGCUGUCAGUGCACACCUCCAAAGACACUCCCUAACCUGAGCAGGGACUGUUGGGGAAGCUGGAGGUUCUCAAGAGACAAAAGAAAAUGGAAGCUGUGUGGUGUGGCAUUUUUUUCAGCAACUUCACCAUGAAGUUAUUUGUUCUUGUCACUCAGAUCUGCCAUCCAGACGUGGUUAUUUUAAUUAAAAGGAAGCAGCUCAGUAGAGGUUGCACCAGCAUAGUGUGAUCAUCUCAUGUGACAACUUGACCAGUCCUCAGUAGUCCUGUAAUCCCAUCAGUGUCUAAUCUGGAGGCUGUGUGGAGAUGUUGCCAUGCUUGUUCAGUAUGUCCUGAGCUCUUGUUCUUCUUGGAGUCUGUCUGUCUUUAGUCUGAGCUAAUGAUUGAGAUAGUACAUGUUCUUUUCUGACAUGAGCCUAAAUAUUUCAAAAAUCCUGCCUUUGCUCUGUAAAGGCAGCUUUGCCUGUGUGCCUCUCCCAAAUGAUUUCUCUGUCAUAUCUCCACCUAACCUGACCUGACUGGGAAGAGCAAAAUAUCCAUGGGCUCACAAGGAGCGUGGUAGUGACGUGUUUCCUACAGUCAUGAGGGGGCAGUGGGUAUGUGAAAAGCCAAUGGAAAGACGAUGUCUCUGAUCUGAACUGAAAGUUAACUCAGAUGCUGCAGCGGGCAUGUCAGCAGUUGAAACAUAGUGUUAAUGACAAGUGUGACGUUGUGGGCAGGCAGACAGCCCUGGGCUGAGAUUAACUGAAGGGAUAGCAGUGAAAGAAACCACCAGGAACUGCAGAAAGUGGAGAGGCUAAUGUGGGGCCAGCCCUGACCUGGAGCUAAGAUGAUGGAGGGAGCAACAACCAGACAGAAGUGUGAGAGGUAGUGUCAGACCUCCCCUGGGUGGAGAGUGAGGGUGGGUGCUGGCUUAGGGAUCAUUCAGCAAAGCUAUUACUAAUUAAGGGCUAAUUACUAAUUAAGGGCUAGGGGGAUCAGGUAAGGGGAAGAGGCCUUUUCUCACUCUCUCUACACAUUCAUGACCAUUGGAGCUGUAGUUAGUGGUGCUGCCAUAGGCCCACGAGGAUGCCCAGGGCUCCUAUCUGCACUGGAGCAGAGUCAGUGGUGUAGCCAAGAGCCAGGAGAAGCUAUGGUCAAAUACAUGCAACCACCUUAUUGUGGUGUCGAUAUGCAGGCUGCACUACACAACUGACACAGGGCUGGUCAGAUCCCCGUUGCUUGUCUGCACAUGGACAAUACGAUAGCCAGUCUUCCAGGUUUAUGGAACUGUGUCUCUGCAGUACAUGCAGGUAUUUGGCUCAAAUGUGGAGGUAUGCCUUGCCAGGAGGAGCACCACCAUUCCCAGAUGCGUGCCACUAGACCUCUCAGUGCAUCUCCGUGCCACCAGCAGUCAUCCCAACUCCAAACCCUACAUGGGAAAGCUGCCUGAAAAAGGGGAGAAAACUUUUGCAUCAGGAAUGACUCAGGACCUUGGUAUAUUGCAUUUUUAAAUAUUUAUUUCAGUGAUCUUAUAAAUGUUUUAUUUGAAGAAAAAUACUGUAAUUGGCCAAUAUUCCACAAAAUAUAAAUAUUUUGCUCUAAAACAGU